This 85-nucleotide transfer RNA is filed under the name Thiomicrorhabdus sediminis. Its description in RNAcentral is "Thiomicrorhabdus sp. G1 tRNA-Leu". It matches the Rfam family "tRNA". From Rfam's summary of the family: Transfer RNA (tRNA) molecules are approximately 80 nucleotides in length. The record is from RNAcentral. Lineage: Bacteria; Pseudomonadati; Pseudomonadota; Gammaproteobacteria; Thiotrichales; Piscirickettsiaceae.
GCCGAUGUGGUGAAAUUGGUAGACACGCCAUCUUGAGGGGGUGGUAGCGCAAGCUGUGGCGGUUCGAGUCCGCCCAUCGGCACCA